RNAcentral lists this ribosomal RNA (464 nucleotides) under uncultured bacterium. Its description in RNAcentral is "partial 16S ribosomal RNA". It matches the Rfam family "Bacterial small subunit ribosomal RNA", at positions 29 to 507 of the family's 1533-position model. The record is from RNAcentral.
ACGAACGCUGGCGGCGUGCUUAACACAUGCCAGUCGAGCGGUAAGGCCCCUUCGGGGGUACACGAGCGGCGAACGGGUGAGUAACACGUGAGCAAUCUGCCCAUCACAUCGGGAUAACUCCGGGCAACCGAAGCUAAUACCGAAUACGACCACCUCCGGCAUCGGAUGGUGGUGGAAAGUUCCGGCGGUGAUGGAUGAGCUCGCGGCCUAUCAGCUUGUUGGUGGGGUAACGGCCCACCAAGGCUUCGACGGGUAGCCGGCCUGAGAGGGUGACCGGCCACACUGGGACUGAGACACGGCCCAGACUCCUACGGGAGGCAGCAGUGGGGAAUAUUGGACAAUGGGCGAAAGCCUGAUCCAGCAACGCCGCGUGAGGGAUGACGGCCUUCGGGUUGUAAACCUCUUUCAGCAGGGACGAAGCGAAAGUGACGGUACCUGCAGAAGAAGCACCGGCCAACUACGUG